Molecule: small RNA, 148 nt
Filed under: Papio anubis (olive baboon)
Lineage: Eukaryota; Metazoa; Chordata; Mammalia; Primates; Cercopithecidae
Description: Metazoan signal recognition particle RNA (ENSPANG00000036996.1)
Source: Rfam by way of RNAcentral
GCUGGGUGUUGUGGCGCGCGCCUGUAAUCCCAGCUACUCAGGAGGCUGAGGCAGGAGAAUCACUUGAACCCAGAAGGUGGAGGUUGCAGUGAGCUGAGAUCACGCCACUGCACUCCAGUCUGGGUGACAGAGUGAGACUCUGUCUCAA